Molecule: ribosomal RNA, 468 nt
Filed under: uncultured bacterium
Lineage: Bacteria
Description: partial 16S ribosomal RNA
Rfam family: Bacterial small subunit ribosomal RNA
Source: RNAcentral
GACGAACGCUGGCGGCGUGCUUAACACAUGCAAGUCGAACGGAAAGGCCCUGCUUUUGUGGGGUGCUCGAGUGGCGAACGGGUGAGUAACACGUGAGUAACCUGCCCUUGACUUUGGGAUAACUUCAGGAAACUGGGGCUAAUACCGGAUAGGAGCUCCUGCUGCAUGGGGGGGGUUGGAAAGUUUCGGCGGUGGGGGUUGGACGCGCGGCUUAUCAGUUUGUUGGUGGGGUAGUGGCUUACCAAGGCUUUGACGGGUAGCCGGCCUGGGAGGGUGACCGGCCACAUUGGGCCUGAGAUACGGCCCGGACUCCUACGGGAGGCAGCAGUGGGGAAUAUUGCACAAUGGGCGGAAGCCUGAUGCAGCAACGCCGCGUGCGGGAUGACGGCCUUCGGUUUGUAAACCGCUUUCGCCUGGGACGAAGCGUGAGUGACGGUAAUUGGUAAAGAAGCACCGGCUAACUACGUG